This is a small nucleolar RNA of Bison bison bison, 141 nucleotides long. Ensembl annotates it as small nucleolar RNA, C/D box 10. Its record names the gene SNORD10. The record is from Ensembl. Lineage: Eukaryota; Metazoa; Chordata; Mammalia; Artiodactyla; Bovidae.
GCUCUGUGAUGAACUCCAUGCGUGUCAUCUGAGCCUGGCUUCCCUGUCAUCUCAGCCCAGGUAGUGUUCUACUUCCCAAGGCUGUUGUCUGGCCUGGAAAGGGGAUCCCAGGCAAAGGAUCAACCUUUGUAUUCUGAGAGC